Molecule: ribosomal RNA, 274 nt
Filed under: uncultured bacterium
Lineage: Bacteria
Description: partial 16S ribosomal RNA
Rfam family: Bacterial small subunit ribosomal RNA
Source: RNAcentral
GAUGAACGCUAGCGGCAGGCCUAAUACAUGCAAGUCGAGGGGCAGCAGGAAUAGCAAUAUUCGCUGGCGACCGGCGCACGGGUGCGUAACACGUAUACAAUCUGCCUUUAACUGGGGGAUAGCCCGGAGAAAUCCGGAUUAAUACCCCAUAAUAAUUUGACUGGCAUCAGUUAGAUUUGAAAGCUCCGGCGGUUAGAGAUGAGUAUGCGACUGAUUAGCUAGUUGGUGAGGUAACGGCUCACCAAGGCGACGAUCAGUAGGGGAUCUGAGAGGA